GAUGAACGCUGGCGGCGUGCCUAAUACAUACAAGUCGAACGAAACUUCUUUAUCACCGAGUGCUUGCACUCACCGAUAAAGAGUUGAGUGGCGAACGGGUGAGUAACACGUGGGCAACCUGCCCAAAAGAGGGGGAUAACACUUGGAAACAGGUGCUAAUACCGCAUAACCAUAGUUACCGCAUGGUAACUAUGUAAAAGGUGGCUAUACUACCGCUUUUGGAUGGGCCCGCGGCGCAUUAGCUAGUUGGUAGGGUAAAGGCUUACCAAGGCAAUGAUGCGUAGCCGAAUUGAGAGGUUGAUCGGCCACAUUGGGACUGAGACACGGCCCAAACUCCUACGGGAGGCAGCAGUAGGGAAUCUUCCACAAUGGGCGAAAGCCUGAUGGAGCAACGCCGCGUGGGUGAAGAAGGUCUUCGGAUCGUAAAACCCUGUUGUUAGAGAAGAAAGUGCGUGAGAGUAACUGUUCACGUUUCGACGGUAUCUAACCGGAAAGCCACGGCUAACUACGUG
This 512-nucleotide ribosomal RNA is filed under the name uncultured bacterium. RNAcentral's name for it is "partial 16S ribosomal RNA". It matches the Rfam family "Bacterial small subunit ribosomal RNA", at positions 28 to 507 of the family's 1533-position model. The record is from RNAcentral.